GCAAACUUGGUCAUUUAGAGGAAGUAAAAGUCGUAACAAGGUUUCCGUAGGUGAACCUGCGGAAGGAUCAUUAACGAGUUAGGGUCUUCUAGGCCCGACCUCCCAACCCUUUGUUUACUAGACCUCUGUUGCUUCGGCGGACCCGUCUCAAACUGACCGCCGGAGGACCGCCCAACUGGGCGUUCCUUUGGCCAGUGUCCGCCGAUAGCCUCUUUCAUCCCAACUCUGGAAUAAUCGUGACAAUGCUGUCUAAGUGAAUUUAUUCAAUUAAAAAGCAAAAACUUUCAACAACGGAUCUCUUGGUUCUGGCAUCGAUGAAGAACGCAGC
Molecule: unclassified non-coding RNA, 328 nt
Filed under: uncultured fungus
Lineage: Eukaryota; Fungi
Description: partial contains small subunit ribosomal RNA, internal transcribed spacer 1, and 5.8S ribosomal RNA
Rfam family: Eukaryotic small subunit ribosomal RNA (bases 1-73)
Source: RNAcentral